AGGAUUGUUGGCAGCAGAUUCCCACCACCACAGACAUCUACAUAAGCAGAUGCAGGAAAAGGGCCUCUUCUAUCUGAAAAGAUGCUACUGACCCAGCCCACACUGACCUCCUCCCCUUGGGCUGUGGACCAUCAAGAGCAGAACCACCAGACUAAAUAACAACUUCUUCCCGGAGGUUGUAAGACUGUUUUGAACUCUGUGCUUUGUAGACUCAGCUGCUCCCAGCCAAAGAGCUUAACAUGACUGAGUUUGCAGAGACAUGAAAAACCCGGCUGUGUGUGUGGAGGACGGUGAAAAGUGCCUGAGAGACAUAGCGGAUAUUUUACAC
Oreochromis aureus is the source of this 328-nucleotide long non-coding RNA. RefSeq lists it as uncharacterized. Lineage: Eukaryota; Metazoa; Chordata; Actinopteri; Cichliformes; Cichlidae. The transcript is spliced from 2 exons. The record is from RefSeq and is a predicted model, not a curated record.